UUAAGCGACUAAGCGUACACGGUGGAUGCCCUGGCAGUCAGAGGCGAUGAAGGACGUGCUAAUCUGCGAUAAGCGUCGGUAAGGUGAUAUGAACCGUUAUAACCGGCGAUUUCCGAAUGGGGAAACCCAGUGUGAUUCGUCACACUAUCAUUAACUGAAUCCAUAGGUUAAUGAGGCGAACCGGGGGAACUGAAACAUCUAAGUACCCCGAGGAAAAGAAAUCAACCGAGAUUCCCCCAGUAGCGGCGAGCGAACGGGGAGGAGCCCAGAGCCUGAAUCAGUGUGUGUGUUAGUGGAAGCGUCUGGAAAGGCGCGCGAUACAGGGUGACAGCCCCGUACACAAAAAUGCACAUGCUGUGAGCUCGAUGAGUAGGGCGGGACACGUGGUAUCCUGUCUGAAUAUGGGGGGACCAUCCUCCAAGGCUAAAUACUCCUGACUGACCGAUAGUGAACCAGUACCGUGAGGGAAAGGCGAAAAGAACCCCGGCGAGGGGAGUGAAAAAGAACCUGAAACCGUGUACGUACAAGCAGUGGGAGCACGCUUCGGCGUGUGACUGCGUACCUUUUGUAUAAUGGGUCAGCGACUUAUAUUCUGUAGCAAGGUUAACCGAAUAGGGGAGCCGAAGGGAAACCGAGUCUUAACUGGGCGUUAAGUUGCAGGGUAUAGACCCGAAACCCGGUGAUCUAGCCAUGGGCAGGUUGAAGGUUGGGUAACACUAACUGGAGGACCGAACCGACUAAUGUUGAAAAAUUAGCGGAUGACUUGUGGCUGGGGGUGAAAGGCCAAUCAAACCGGGAGAUAGCUGGUUCUCCCCGAAAGCUAUUUAGGUAGCGCCUCGUGAAUUCAUCUCCGGGGGUAGAGCACUGUUUCGGCAAGGGGGUCAUCCCGACUUACCAACCCGAUGCAAACUGCGAAUACCGGAGAAUGUUAUCACGGGAGACACACGGCGGGUGCUAACGUCCGUCGUGAAGAGGGAAACAACCCAGACCGCCAGCUAAGGUCCCAAAGUCAUGGUUAAGUGGGAAACGAUGUGGGAAGGCCCAGACAGCCAGGAUGUUGGCUUAGAAGCAGCCAUCAUUUAAAGAAAGCGUAAUAGCUCACUGGUCGAGUCGGCCUGCGCGGAAGAUGUAACGGGGCUAAACCAUGCACCGAAGCUGCGGCAGCGACACUAUGUGUUGUUGGGUAGGGGAGCGUUCUGUAAGCCUGCGAAGGUGUACUGUGAGGUAUGCUGGAGGUAUCAGAAGUGCGAAUGCUGACAUAAGUAACGAUAAAGCGGGUGAAAAGCCCGCUCGCCGGAAGACCAAGGGUUCCUGUCCAACGUUAAUCGGGGCAGGGUGAGUCGACCCCUAAGGCGAGGCCGAAAGGCGUAGUCGAUGGGAAACAGGUUAAUAUUCCUGUACUUGGUGUUACUGCGAAGGGGGGACGGAGAAGGCUAUGUUGGCCGGGCGACGGUUGUCCCGGUUUAAGCGUGUAGGCUGGUUUUCCAGGCAAAUCCGGAAAAUCAAGGCUGAGGCGUGAUGACGAGGCACUACGGUGCUGAAGCAACAAAUGCCCUGCUUCCAGGAAAAGCCUCUAAGCAUCAGGUAACAUCAAAUCGUACCCCAAACCGACACAGGUGGUCAGGUAGAGAAUACCAAGGCGCUUGAGAGAACUCGGGUGAAGGAACUAGGCAAAAUGGUGCCGUAACUUCGGGAGAAGGCACGCUGAUAUGUAGGUGAAGCGACUUGCUCGUGGAGCUGAAAUCAGUCGAAGAUACCAGCUGGCUGCAACUGUUUAUUAAAAACACAGCACUGUGCAAACACGAAAGUGGACGUAUACGGUGUGACGCCUGCCCGGUGCCGGAAGGUUAAUUGAUGGGGUUAGCGGUAACGCGAAGCUCUUGAUCGAAGCCCCGGUAAACGGCGGCCGUAACUAUAACGGUCCUAAGGUAGCGAAAUUCCUUGUCGGGUAAGUUCCGACCUGCACGAAUGGCGUAAUGAUGGCCAGGCUGUCUCCACCCGAGACUCAGUGAAAUUGAACUCGCUGUGAAGAUGCAGUGUACCCGCGGCAAGACGGAAAGACCCCGUGAACCUUUACUAUAGCUUGACACUGAACAUUGAGCCUUGAUGUGUAGGAUAGGUGGGAGGCUUUGAAGUGUGGACGCCAGUCUGCAUGGAGCCGACCUUGAAAUACCACCCUUUAAUGUUUGAUGUUCUAACGUUGGCCCCUGAUCGGGGUUGCGGACAGUGUCUGGUGGGUAGUUUGACUGGGGCGGUCUCCUCCUAAAGAGUAACGGAGGAGCACGAAGGUUGGCUAAUCCUGGUCGGACAUCAGGAGGUUAGUGCAAUGGCAUAAGCCAGCUUGACUGCGAGCGUGACGGCGCGAGCAGGUGCGAAAGCAGGUCAUAGUGAUCCGGUGGUUCUGAAUGGAAGGGCCAUCGCUCAACGGAUAAAAGGUACUCCGGGGAUAACAGGCUGAUACCGCCCAAGAGUUCAUAUCGACGGCGGUGUUUGGCACCUCGAUGUCGGCUCAUCACAUCCUGGGGCUGAAGUAGGUCCCAAGGGUAUGGCUGUUCGCCAUUUAAAGUGGUACGCGAGCUGGGUUUAGAACGUCGUGAGACAGUUCGGUCCCUAUCUGCCGUGGGCGCUGGAGAACUGAGGGGGGCUGCUCCUAGUACGAGAGGACCGGAGUGGACGCAUCACUGGUGUUCGGGUUGUCAUGCCAAUGGCACUGCCCGGUAGCUAAAUGCGGAAGAGAUAAGUGCUGAAAGCAUCUAAGCACGAAACUUGCCCCGAGAUGAGUUCUCCCUGACUCCUUGAGAGUCCUGAAGGAACGUUGAAGACGACGACGUUGAUAGGCCGGGUGUGUAAGCGCAGCGAUGCGUUGAGCUAACCGGUACUAAUGAACCGUGAGGCUUAACCUU
Molecule: ribosomal RNA, 2903 nt
Filed under: Escherichia coli
Lineage: Bacteria; Pseudomonadati; Pseudomonadota; Gammaproteobacteria; Enterobacterales; Enterobacteriaceae
Description: bacterial LSU rRNA
Rfam family: Bacterial large subunit ribosomal RNA
Source: RNAcentral